CUACGGGUUGCAGCAGUGAGGGAUAUUGCACAAUGGGGGGAACCCUGAUGCAGCAACGCCGCGUGGAGGAUGACGCAUUUCGGUGUGUAAACUCCUUUUAUAUGUCAAGAAAAUGACGGUAGCAUAUGAAUAAGCACCGGCUAACUCCGUGCCAGCAGCCGCGGUAAUACGGGAGGGUGCAAGCGUUACUCGGAAUCACUGGGCGUAAAGGACGCGUAGGCGGGUUGGAAAGUCAGGUGUGAAAUCCUACAGCUUAACUGUAGAACUGCACUUGAAACUUCUAAUCUAGAGUAUGGGAGGGGGAGAUGGAAUUAGUGGUGUAGGGGUAAAAUCCGUAGAUAUCACUAGGAAUACCUAAAGCGAAGGCGAUCUCCUGGAACAUUACUGACGCUAAGGCGUGAAAGCGUGGGGAGCAAACAGGAUUAGAUACCCUUGUAGUC
RNAcentral lists this ribosomal RNA (440 nucleotides) under uncultured bacterium. RNAcentral describes it as "partial 16S ribosomal RNA". It matches the Rfam family "Bacterial small subunit ribosomal RNA", at positions 339 to 795 of the family's 1533-position model. The record is from RNAcentral.